Molecule: long non-coding RNA, 7086 nt
Filed under: Populus tremula
Lineage: Eukaryota; Viridiplantae; Streptophyta; Magnoliopsida; Malpighiales; Salicaceae
Description: long non-coding RNA (PTRE_LNC002649)
Source: RNAcentral
ACCUGCAGCCCAUGCACAAAAGCAGUGUUUAGUGCAAGCACAAGAAGGAUCCGUUAAGGGUUACACACGUCCUUGCAGACAAACUCUCUUUGUGUUGGCACACCUUAGCAGCUAUCAACUGAAUGCACUAGUAAGGACUAUUGUUGAUACAAUAAUUCCUAAUGUCUGAACAGAUGUGGUGUUUCUCUAUAACAUGCCAAAUGAGAAUUGUUGGUCCAUGCUGCAAGCACUCAUUCUCUGGGUUGGUCUUGAUACCAAACCGACUAGAAGAGAAUAAUGAUGGAAAAUUCUAAGUAGCUUGGGGGAAUAGAUGGAAAGAAAAUCAUCUGUUAUGGAUGCAGAAGAUUAUAGUCUAGAUAAUAGAUAAAGAUUUGGAAAGCAACUGGGGUUAUAAGCAAGAAAGGGAAUUUAGAAGUGUCAAAGAUAGCUACUAACAUGCAAAGGAUCUUUCCACGGGGGAUGCAUGGGUGAUGGAGAACCUAAUACCCACUCAUAAUAUCAGAAAAGGUACAAGAGCUUUAUUUUCAAAGACGAUAUUCCAAAAUACUUUACACGUCAUUUUUCAAACAGUUUGAAUACCAAAAGAGAUGUCUACUGCAUGUAAUCACCCCUUGCUUGCAACAGCAGACUAUGUACACAUUUAUUAUAACACCUCUGAAGGACAUUCUGGAAACAACAUAGAUAGAAACAAACCUGGCCUAACUCAGGGUCCUGAACAACAGUUCCAUUGCAGCAGAACUCUUUCUUGAGGUCCUUGAGUAUCUUGUUGUAGCUAUAUUCCUUCUUCAACCCUUGAACAGUAGUCAGGCUUUUCCUCCCAUUUCGCUGCUGUACACGCACAUGAACAUAAUCUUUUGUCCCAGCACCGGAGUCCUCAGCAUUUGCCUCAGCAAAGGGAUCUAUUCAUCCAUUGAAGAAACAUUAUUAGUAUAAACUUCUAACUUCAUCAGAAUGCUAAAUAUAUAUUAAUCCAACAAAUAAAACAUACCGAAAGCAGUUGGAAUAGCGUUGUCGAAUUCAGACAUGAAAGAAAGAUUCUGGAAGUAGAAAGCGAAACCAACAAACAAUUCUUUUGAUAUUAAUCAAAUUUCUCUGAGCUGCAACACAUGCCAGAAAACAAAAUUAAGGGUGGAAGGUUCCACAGGAGAGAGAUACGGAUCAAGAUCCAGAGAAGCCUACAAUUUAAUAGGUCAACAUAAGUGCUAAAGGAUUUAGAAAGCUUUACUAUCCAAUCAUCAGUUCUAAUUUCACAUUUAUGACAAACCAAGCAAUGAGAAAGUAAAAUCAUUGCAUGUAUAAAAUAAUCAUGAAAGAUUUUAACUAUACAUUAAAAUGCAAGAAUGAUAAAUUUUAUGAUUCUGUAACGAAUAACACAAAAAUAAAUCAGUACUGUUAAGCACUAAAAUACCUAAAGCAGCUACAGAUUAUCCAUACAUCAGAUGAGUCUAGCUACAGUCUACACCACCAUUUAACAAACAGAUGUGUGUAUCUUAAUCAGCAUCAUAGCCACGUAUUCCUGUAGACCAAUCAAUGAUUUCCGACUUCACUCAAAAAAUGGGUUAUCUUUUCAGAAACACAUCUAUUUCCUCAAUCUAUUCCUAUAAUGGUAGCUGUUACACCUUAUCAUCAACAAUCAGUCCAAAAUAAUAAAAUCUAAAAAGCAUGUGGAUCACCCCAUCCAUCAAACAUAUCUUUUCAUGUCCACUGAUGAACAAACAUCUUUAAGUACUAGUUCCAUUAUAUCACUACACAAAAUUAAGGGUCAUCUUCUUCCAUCUCCUAACAAGACACUAUGAAUUUUUGUUACACCAGUUCCUCAUGCCAUCUGAGGCAUAAGUCUCUAGCUUCAUAAUUCUCUACCCUGUAAAACCAAACUUCAAAUAUUACUCCUAGCUUGGAGAUCACGCACUCUCACCCAAAUAUCACCUAUUGUUUGGAACCAAUUCUAUAAUAGAAUUGAUUUCAACUAUUUAAGUAGAUUGAUUUAAUUUGGAAAUUGAAUUCUUUUGCAUGGAAUUGGUUUUAAAGGAAUUCAUUUACCUUGAGUUAGUGAAAAUACAUCAUUCGCCCAACUUUCCCUCACCACAAAAAAAUCCCUCCAAGCAGAUGUGUGAAAUGGAGGGGGGGGAGGAUGUUAGUGGGAUUAAUUUUUAAUGCGUCAAUCAGGUGUGAUUUUCAAAUCUACAAAAUAAAAUAUCUAAUUUUAAUUAGUCGUAGCCUUCAUUUAUGUUACUUAAAGGUUUUCAAACACUAGAACUCGAUAAAUGUUGUCGAAAUGAUUUCAUUUCUACUCAAAUCUUAAGUUUCCAAACAGCCUAUAAAAGUUUCAAACUUUUCCUCAAAUAAACCCAUUAUGAACAUAACCAAAAACUUGUAAUUGAUUGGAAAAUUCCAGGAAUUGUGUUCUAGACGUCCACAAGUGAAAAAAAAAAAGGCUAGAAACAAUUAAGAGAGCUAGAAACACACAACAUAACCUGGAUUCUAAACAUUAAAAUUUGGAUCAGCCAAUAGAAAAGAUUGAAUGUAAAUAUGCAGUUACUUAUUCAGCUCCUUUCCCUCAAAUCCUUAUCAAACAAACAGAAAAUCAUACUCAUCAUCCAGGCUAAAAAUGAAAAAAUAAGAAAAACUUCAACACCAUACAGAAAUUUCUACCAAUAUUUUAAAAAAGAAAAUCAUUUUUUUUCCGCAAAAAAUAACAAAAAACAAUCACAAACAAUAAUACAAAACACCAUCAUGAACAAAAAACCAUAAAAAAUCCCAAUUACGAAAAAAUAAAGACAAAACACAAAAUUAACCAAAACCUAAUAUUUACAAACAGAAAGACAAGAUCAAACCAGAACAAAACGUUAAAAGAAACCAGGCUAGAAAAAAACCUACGGAUUAUUACCUGACAGGAAGAUUGAGAAACAAAGCAAGAAAACCCAAAAAAGAUGAGAGAUGAAAUUUGGGUCUCUUUCUUUGGCGAUUAUGGUGAUUACGCAAAGGUGAGAGACAAUAUUUAUUGACCUCACCAGCUUCUUCGGGUCGGCUGUUUCUACGGUUGAGAUUGUUUGGAGGCCACGUGGGAUAGCGACAGACAGUGGUCCUGAUUCUUACCCCUUAUGCUAACCUUUUUCUUUCAUGUGGGAAAGGGCUUGAGGCCCAUAACAUAACAUAUCCCGAUGAGCACAUGGGUGAGCCCAUUUAUAAUUCUUGCUGUAUAAAAAAAAAAAACAAAAAAAAAGAGGGCUAUUUUAGUAAACAUGGAACAUUUUUUUUCAUUUUCUACCUUAGCUAUCAAUAUUGAUUUGGCCUAUGGGUCGAUCCGGCAAUCUAGAGCAAUCAAGUUUAUUUUUUACUUAUUUAAAAAUUAGGUUUAUUAAAUUCAAAUGACUUGAUAGGUAAAAAAAUUAUUAGUCAUAUUGGAAUGAGACCCUAUCAAGUUAAUUUUAAUAAUUUUUUAAAAUUUUUAUUCAAAAAUAUAUCAUUUUAAUUUAUUUUAAAAAAAAUUUGUCUAAAAUGGUGUUAUUUUUUAUUUGUUUUAAAAAAACUUAAGCAAAUCAUUUUAAAAUAAACAUGAGUUGACCCUUAAUAUAUAAGUUGACCCACAAUCUAUAUCUUGGUUUGUGUACGAUAACUAUUAAAAAAAAAACCUAAUUGUUCUCAGGAAGUUAAUGUGCGUUGAGCCUUCAUGACACUAUUCAUUAUAAUAGUAUCAUUAUAAAACUAUCCUCGAAUAAAGAAGCCAUUGGACUAAUCUCUUUAAGUAGGAUGAUUUUUUCACCAUGACAGUAGUGCUUAUAACAAGUUCUAUAAGGUUAUAUUAGUCAUUUUCUUGUUGCAUGAUAAAAUUAAUACUUUAAUCCUAGAAUAAAAAAAUGUAAUGUCUUUCACUUAAGGGCAUCUUAGUUUUUUUCUUUUAAAAUAGUGUAAUUACUUUGAUGCCCAUGAAAACAAAAUCAACAUCACUACUUCAAAAUAACUUUUUAGUUAUUUUAUAUUAGUUUUAUUGUAAAGUUUAAGAUUUUAAGGGGUAUUAUUGUAAUUGAUAUAUACUAAAUUUUAUUUAAAAAAAGUAUUUUAAAAAAUGCGAUGCAUCAGUGUGUGGACGACCCCAACGUUGUUUGAGGAGAGCUUGUGAGGUCAUUCAAUAACCAAACACUACUUUUCGCGAUGACAUUUAAAACAUUUUCUUUAUUAUAUCAUACCAAUCUCUUCAAAAAUUAAGACUAGCCACCAUGAUUGGUUUUUUCUUUACAUUUUGAUUUAUAUCCUUUUGAUUACAAUUAUUUUUUUGAAUUAUCUAUAAAAUUACAAAUAUUUUUUUAAUUUCACCCUAUCUUUUUAAAAACUAUAAAUAAUCUAUCAAAUUAUAAAUAUUUAUUUUUCAAUUUUCACCCCCUAUAAUUUUUUAUUCUUUCAAAUUUGAUUUUCGUUCUUUUUAUUGCUAUUUUUUGUUUGAGAUCAUUUGAAUUUUUUUUUUCAAGUUUCAUUGUCUUUGGGUUUUUUUUAUCAAAUUUUAUCCUCAUUCUUUUUUGUUGCAUUUUUUUUUUACUUUCACAAGUUUUUUUUAUCAAUAUUUUUCAACGAUUUUAUCAUUUAAAAUUGAAUUUAUUUAAAUUUAAGCUUUUUGAUUGAACCCUAGUUCAAGAUUUUACGGGCUAUGAGUUUUGAAAAUUAGACCAGGUUUAGUAGUUUUGUUUGGUGUUACUUGUUUUUUUUUUCCUUUAUGAAGUUGAUGUUUUUUUUUUAAUUUUAUUUUAAUUUUAUUUAAGUUUUGCUUUGUUAUUUUCACAUUUUACCUUGAAGUUAGCCCUAUGUUAGCUUGGGUUUUUAAUUUUUUUUUUCAUUGAUAAUUUUUUUAAAAGUUUAUUUAUUGUUAUUGAUUUUUUUUAUUUAUAUUAUUUAAAUUACCGGUUGAACUAAUUAUUCAAGUUUCAGAUUUUUUUACACUAGAAAAGAUUUUAUACCUAGUAUGGGGUAGAGCGUCGAUAACAAAUCUAGUGUAUUCUAUAACUCCAUAUCUAUAUCUAUUUCUUUUUUAUCUUCUAAUAGAAACUAGAGAGUAUAUUUAGGAUAGAUUACAAGUUGUUCAUCUUUUAUAUAUAUAUAUAUAUAUAUAUAUAAACAUUGGCUAAGAAACAAUUAUAUUCCUUGAGUUUUUAAUAAAUUCUAUCAUUCAUAUUAGGUUAAUUAUAAAUAAAUUUUUAUAUAUUUUUUAUUAUAUAAUAAAAUAAAAAUAAAAUUAAUUCCAUAUAAAAAACUCAUAAUGCGAGUUGACAAAAAUAAUCCUAGCCUAUUUCUUUUUUUUUUCUUCUAGUUUUUUAUUUUUUUCUUUAUGAUUUUUUUCUUUAAACCUAUCCAAUCUAGAGGAUCACAUCAAAACAAUAUUUUUCAAAUAUGAUUUUUUUCAAAAUAUGAAUUAUUAUACAAAGUUUAAUAAUAAUACCCAAAAUUGUCCACCAUAUGAAAGGAAUAUUUGGGAUUAAACUGUUAAAUAGUUUUUAAAAUAGUUUGUUUAUUUAAAAAUAUAUUAAAAUAUUUUUUUUCAUAUUUGUUUUUUAUUUUUAAUAUUGACAAAUCAAAACCAUAAAAAAAACACUAAAAAAAUAUCAAAUUAAUAUUUUUUUAAACUAAAAAUAUUAAAAAAAACACCUAGAAACAAAAUCACCGAAAUAAUAACCUAGUUUAAGAGGCUCAAAAUAUUAUUUUAUAUUACUUCUGCUCUCAACUUGAAGAAAAGGUAGAAAGGAUCACGUAAUUUUUCAAGUUAUAAUUUACUGCAAGGAACACAAACAUCUACAGAACGCCAGCAACCUUUAUUCUGAUAAGGGAUCCAGUGGUCAUACAUAUUAAAUCCACUCAGCGAGCAACCUUUAUUCCGGUGAAAGAUCCGGUGGUUGUACAUACUAAAUCCACAUCACACACAAAGAAGCGAAUCCACUUUUAAAAUGCAGAAAGCAGAAUAUCCUGAAAUAAAGUUGAGAAGGACACAAGCUCUACCAUGCGAGACGUGUAAACUACGUAUCCUAGCAAUUAGCUUGCUACUUCUUAGAAACCAUGAAUCUUGAUAUUUUCCUUCUUCACAAUGCCUGCCUGUUCACAGAGAAUAAACGAAGAUUUUUCAUUGAUGGUUGCUAAAUCUACAAGUACUUUGUCUAAACAAGACCAGGAGGUGUUUGUUACCUGCACGAGGAAGGUGGAAACGUUCUUCCUUUGAUCACCCUGAAGUUGAAUGACCUGCAGCCACGCAAAAAAGCAGUGCUCACACUAAAUUAUUUCGGCAGAAAGACAUUUAAUAUAUCCAAACCAGGCUUAUGCACUGGUAUUUAGUGCAAGAACAAGACGGGGCGAUUAAAGGUUACACACAUCCUCGCUGACACUCUCGUCAUGUUGGUACAGCUUACUAGUUAUGAAUUGAAUGCACUAGUAAAGACUAUUGCUAAUACAAUAAUUCCGAAUGUUUGAACAGAUGUGGUGUUUCUCUAUUCCAUGCCAAAUGAGAAACCAAGGUCCAUGCUGCAAGUGUUCAUUCUAUGGGUUGGUCUAGAUAUCAAAUUCAAACCAACUGUAAGAGAUAAUGAUGGAAAUUUCUAAGCAAGAAAGGGAAUAUAGGAGUGUGUCAGGGAUAGCUCCCAACAUGCAAUGUAUCGUACCACAGGGGAUGCGUGGGUAAUGGAGAAUCUGAUACCCACCCAUAGUAUAAAAAAAAUCUAGCUUUACAAGAUCUUUAUUUUCAAAGAAGAUAUUCCAAAAUUCUUUACGCUUCAUUUUUCUCACAGUUUGAACAACAAAAGAGCUGAGGACUGCAUGUAAUCACCCCUUGUUUGCAACAGCAGACUAUGUACAGAUUUAUGAUAAUACCUCUCAAGGACAUUCUGAAAACAACAUAGAAACAAACCUGGCCUAGCUCAGGGUCCUGGACAACAGUUCCAUUGCAGCAGAACUCUUUCUUGAGGUCCUUAAGUAUCUUGUUGUAGCUAUAUUCCUUCUUCAACCCUUGAACAGUAGUCAGGCUUUUCCUCCCAUUUCGCUGCUGUACGCGCACAUGAACAUAAUCUUUUGUCCCAGCACCAGAGUCCUCAGCAUUUGCCUCAGCGAAGGGAU